UGCUGUCCCCUGAGAGGAUCAUGCCUGAGGAGUUUAGCAUGUCCUAUGAACGGAUCCUCUCAGAUGAACAGCUUCU
MicroRNA precursor from Gallus gallus (chicken), 76 nucleotides. Lineage: Eukaryota; Metazoa; Chordata; Aves; Galliformes; Phasianidae. The record is from Ensembl.